AUGAUUGUGAAGGUAAUAGAUGGCAGAUGGGAGGUGAUCUACUUUGUUGGCGAGCACAACCAUCUGUUGGUUGACAAGCCAUGUUUGACUAAGUAUUUGCGAUCACACCAAGGGAUCCCUCCAGAAGAAAGGGCCUUCCUUACUCAUCUUCAUAACCGCAAUUUAACUACAGGUCGUAUGAUGCACAUCAUGUCAGAUUUCUAUGGGUCAGAACUUAUUGUACCUUAUGGCACUAAGCACAUUACAGACCUCAAGACGCUCUUGAACAAGGAUGAUACAAAAGGAGAUAUGAUAGAGACAAUUGCUUACUUUAAAGAUCAGCAG
RNAcentral lists this ribosomal RNA (324 nucleotides) under Triticum aestivum (bread wheat). RNAcentral's name for it is "partial small subunit ribosomal RNA". The record is from RNAcentral. Lineage: Eukaryota; Viridiplantae; Streptophyta; Magnoliopsida; Poales; Poaceae.